AAGAGUGAAACUCAAAGGAAUUGACGGGGACCCGCACAAGUGGUGGAGCAUGUGGUUUAAUUCGAAGCAACACGAAGAACCUUACCAGGACUUGACAUCCAGUGCAAAGCUAUAGAGAUAUAGUGGAGGUUAACAUUGAGACAGGUGGUGCAUGGUUGUCGUCAGUUCGUGCCGUGAGGUGUUGG
This 185-nucleotide ribosomal RNA is filed under the name Mycoplasma mycoides. RNAcentral describes it as "partial 16S ribosomal RNA". It matches the Rfam family "Bacterial small subunit ribosomal RNA", at positions 890 to 1078 of the family's 1533-position model. The record is from RNAcentral. Lineage: Bacteria; Bacillati; Mycoplasmatota; Mollicutes; Mycoplasmatales; Mycoplasmataceae.